CCGGCCUAGCUCAACUGGUAGAGCAACUGACUUGUAAUCAGUAGGUUGGGGGUUCAAGUCCUCUGGCCGGCACCA
Molecule: transfer RNA, 75 nt
Filed under: Staphylococcus pasteuri
Lineage: Bacteria; Bacillati; Bacillota; Bacilli; Caryophanales; Staphylococcaceae
Description: tRNA-Thr
Rfam family: tRNA
About the family: Transfer RNA (tRNA) molecules are approximately 80 nucleotides in length.
Source: RNAcentral